CCCAAAUGCUAGCCUUUCUUUUUGUUAUCCACUUUCUUGUUUAUUCCGUUCGAUUUACCGAGACCAGACGAAGGAAAAUUUGAUUCUUGCUUUGAGUUUUUGCUGAUCCAUUCUUGGAACACCGGUUACAAUACAGAGCACGAAGCGAGGUUGAGGCAGUAAGCUUGGGAAGAGCUUGCAGCCAGGAGCUUGAGCAAAAGUUGGUAUUUUUGCUUGUCUAUAAUGUGUAUACCACGGGGUUAUCUGGGUGGUUUUUAAUUUCUUGCUUAACCCAUGCUUGGGCAGUUUAUUUUGCUGUUGUCCCAUGACAUUUUGAUGUGUUUUUCUAUUGUAUAUAUGAUGGGAUCUAGUAGAAAGUCUUUGCAUGGUUUGUAAUGAAAAACUUAGUUAUGCCGCAAACCGCAUGUCUAAUUUUUGGUAGAUGAGCUUAUUUUGUUGUUUAGUUCUUGGUGUAUCGCAGGUCUCCUCAUAUUCGUAUAUUUGCAUCUUUAAAUAUUUUACUUUUUCUGUAACACUAAGUUUUCAACUGCUGCCAGGCUAGUAUGGCUGUUGACUCGUUUUGUUUAAGUGUAUUUGGCAUCUACCGUAUUUCUCUCUUG
Papaver somniferum (opium poppy) is the source of this 599-nucleotide long non-coding RNA. RefSeq lists it as uncharacterized. The transcript has 2 exons. NCBI's taxonomy places the organism in Eukaryota, Viridiplantae, Streptophyta, Magnoliopsida, Ranunculales, Papaveraceae. The record is from RefSeq and is a predicted model, not a curated record.